AGCAGCAUAAGAAAGAAGUGUUGAGAGCUGCUCUUAACCCUUUUGGAGUCCGAAGUCAAAAGGGGACUAGAGGGCUUGGCGCAUCCUUUACAUCCUGCAUUUACUCUGACCACAGUCCCUCCCUGUUCUCACAAGCGAAGCUCAGCCCUGCUUCCCUUCCUGUUGAAUCCCGGUCAGCUACAUGACUGCCUGAAGUUACAUUGUAGAUGCUGAAAUCACUGCACCUUAAAAACAAAAAGAUUAAGCCGCGCUGCAUUCCUAAUGUUGGCAUUUUUGGACUGUGCAUCUGUUUAGGCACGUGGAGAAAGACAAGACUGAGAUCAUGUAAGUCAUGAAACUGAGGGUGAAU
Melopsittacus undulatus (budgerigar) is the source of this 349-nucleotide long non-coding RNA. RefSeq lists it as uncharacterized. Lineage: Eukaryota; Metazoa; Chordata; Aves; Psittaciformes; Psittaculidae. The transcript is spliced from 4 exons. The record is from RefSeq and is a predicted model, not a curated record.